GAAUAUAAACCUGGUGGACUGUUGCUGGCUUUUAUUGAGCAUGUGCACGUCCAUCAUAUUUAUUUUUCCACCUGUGCACUUUUUGUAGGCUUGGAAUAUAUAGUUUUUUAAAAGCAUCAUGCUUUUCACUUUGGGACUGCUGUGUUUAAACGUGAAGUUUAUCGGCUUUCCCUUUUAUUUUCCAAGUCUAUGUUUUUCAUUUACACUUCAUAAAUGUAACAGAAUGAUGUACUUUGGGUCAUUGGUACCUAUAAUAAAUCAGUACAACUUUCAGCAACGGAUCUCUUGGCUCU
RNAcentral lists this unclassified non-coding RNA (293 nucleotides) under rhizosphere metagenome. RNAcentral describes it as "partial ribosomal RNA internal transcribed spacer region". The record is from RNAcentral.